UUAACUCGAAUUUGUAUGCAGUUGGAACAGCGCCCCAAGCGGCAAACGUUCCAACUCCAUACAAAUUUGAGUUA
This 74-nucleotide microRNA precursor is filed under the name Bombyx mori (domestic silkworm). Its description in RNAcentral is "mir-2807 microRNA precursor family". It matches the Rfam family "mir-2807 microRNA precursor family". The record is from Rfam by way of RNAcentral. Lineage: Eukaryota; Metazoa; Arthropoda; Insecta; Lepidoptera; Bombycidae.